UGGGGAAUUUUGGACAAUGGGGGAAACCCUGAUCCAGCCAUCCCGCGUGUGCGAUGAAGGCCUUCGGGUUGUAAAGCACUUUUGGCAGGAAAGAAACGUCAUGGGUUAAUACCCCGUGAAACUGACGGUACCUGCAGAAUAAGCACCGGCUAACUACGUGCCAGCAGCCGCGGUAAUACGUAGGGUGCAAGCGUUAAUCGGAAUUACUGGGCGUAAAGCGUGCGCAGGCGGUUCGGAAAGAAAGAUGUGAAAUCCCUGGGCUCAACUUUGGAACUGCAUUUUUAACUACCGGGCUAGAGUGUGUCAGAGGGAGGUGGAAUUCCGCGUGUAGCAGUGAAAUGCGUAGAUAUGCGGAGGAACACCGAUGGCGAGGGCAGCCUCCUGGGAUAACACUGACGCUCAUGCACGAAAGCGUGGGGAGCAAACAGG
This 429-nucleotide ribosomal RNA is filed under the name Acidobacteriota bacterium. RNAcentral's name for it is "Acidobacteria bacterium partial 16S ribosomal RNA". It matches the Rfam family "Bacterial small subunit ribosomal RNA", at positions 355 to 776 of the family's 1533-position model. The record is from RNAcentral. Lineage: Bacteria; Pseudomonadati; Acidobacteriota.